UACAGAGGUCCCAAGCGUUGUUCGGAUUCACUGGGCGUAAAGGGUGCGUAGGUGGUGGGGUAAGUCGGAUGUGAAAUCUCCGAGCUCAACUCGGAAAUGGCAUUGGAAACUACCCUGCUAGAGGGUCGGAGGGGGGACUGGAAUACUUGGUGUAGCAGUGAAAUGCGUAGAUAUCAAGUGGAACACCAGUGGCGAAGGCGAGUCCCUGGACGACUCCUGACACUGAGGCACGAAAGCUAGGGGAGCAAACAGG
RNAcentral lists this ribosomal RNA (253 nucleotides) under uncultured bacterium. RNAcentral describes it as "partial 16S ribosomal RNA". It matches the Rfam family "Bacterial small subunit ribosomal RNA", at positions 524 to 776 of the family's 1533-position model. The record is from RNAcentral.